This 606-nucleotide ribosomal RNA is filed under the name Conderis sp. UPOL A00613. RNAcentral describes it as "partial 16S ribosomal RNA". It matches the Rfam family "Bacterial large subunit ribosomal RNA", at positions 1816 to 2719 of the family's 2925-position model. Lineage: Eukaryota; Metazoa; Arthropoda; Insecta; Coleoptera; Lycidae. The record is from RNAcentral. RNAcentral also lists the same sequence under 1 other name.
CAUGUCCUUUUGAUUAUAAUUUAAGGUCUGAUCUGCUCAAUGAGUAGUUAAAUUGCCGCAGUAUUUUGACUGUGCAAAGGUAGCAUAAUAAUUAGCUUCUUGAUUAGGAGCUGGAAUGAAUGAUUGGACGAGAAAAUUACUGUCUCUUUUUAAAUUUUUAUUGAAUUUUAUUUUUAAGUCAAAAAGCUUAAAUUUUUAUAAAAGACGAGAAGACCCUAUAGAGUUUAAUGAUUUAAUUAUAUAACUUUUUAGAAAGUUUUUUUUAAUUAACUCAUUUAGUUGGGGUGACUAGAAGAUUAAUAUAAUUCUUUUUGUUUUUUUAUUGAUGAUUAUUAAUUAUUGUUUGUAAUUUUUUUAAAUUAAAAGAAAAUUACCUUAGGGAUAACAGCGUUAUUUUUCUUUAAAGUUCUUAUUAAAAGAAAAUUUUGCGACCUCGAUGUUGGAUUAAAAUUAAUUUUUGGUGCAGUAACUUAAAAAUUAGGUCUGUUCGACCUUUAAAAUUUUACAUGAUCUGAGUUUAGACCGGCGUGAGCCAGGUUGGAUUCUAUCUUUAGAAAUAUAAAAUAUUUUAGUACGAAAGGACCAAAUAUUUAUUUUAAUAAAUUG